RNAcentral lists this ribosomal RNA (389 nucleotides) under uncultured bacterium. RNAcentral's name for it is "bacterial SSU rRNA". It matches the Rfam family "Bacterial small subunit ribosomal RNA", at positions 28 to 417 of the family's 1533-position model. The record is from RNAcentral.
GACGAACGCUGGCGGCGUGCUUAACACAUGCAAGUCGAGCGGUAAGGCCCUUUCGGGGGUACGACGAGCGGCGAACGGGUGAGUAACACGUGGGUGACCUGCCCUCAGCUCUGGGAUAAGCCUGGGAAACUGGGUCUAAUACUGGAUAUGACUCCACGGUGCAUGUCGUGGGGUGGAAAGCCUUGUGCGGCUGAGGAUGGGCCCGCGGCCUAUCAGCUUGUUGGUGGGGUGANGGCCUGCCAAGGCGACGACGGGUAGCCGGCCUGAGAGGGCGACCGGCCACACUGGGACUGAGACACGGCCCAGACUCCUACGGGAGGCAGCAGUGGGGAAUCUUGCGCAAUGGGCGAAAGCCUGACGCAGCGACGCCGCGUGAGGGAUGACGGCCU